CCACAAACUAACACUAUACUACAAUCUUGCGACCCAUAUCUGCUUCCCUGUUGAUUCUUUAUUUGACUUGGUGAGUUACAACUAUGUGAAUACAUGGCAUAAUUUCAGUUGCGGCGCCAUCAAUUCCGAUUGGUCACGUAAUGUCUCCGACGGGCAUCUGUAAAACAAAUACAUCAUAUCCACCUCAGGGUCACAGAAAAGGAUCUUAUGAGCUAGAUAGCCAUCUGUGAAACUGCUGUACUCUUUUUGAAAUAUUUGCCUGGUCAUGGCAUGAACUGCUCUGUUGCAAAGUUUUCC
Molecule: unclassified non-coding RNA, 297 nt
Filed under: Hevea brasiliensis (rubber tree)
Lineage: Eukaryota; Viridiplantae; Streptophyta; Magnoliopsida; Malpighiales; Euphorbiaceae
Source: RNAcentral